GGUACCUGUACUCGUUGCGGUGCAACGAUGGUUAAAG
Molecule: non-coding RNA, 37 nt
Filed under: Haloplasma contractile
Lineage: Bacteria; Bacillati; Mycoplasmatota; Mollicutes; Haloplasmatales; Haloplasmataceae
Also listed under: 2 other names
Description: Selenocysteine insertion sequence 4
Rfam family: Selenocysteine insertion sequence 4
Source: RNAcentral